RNAcentral lists this ribosomal RNA (253 nucleotides) under uncultured bacterium. Its description in RNAcentral is "partial 16S ribosomal RNA". It matches the Rfam family "Bacterial small subunit ribosomal RNA", at positions 524 to 776 of the family's 1533-position model. The record is from RNAcentral.
UACGAAGGGGGCUAGCGUUGCUCGGAAUCACUGGGCGUAAAGCGCACGUAGGCGGCUUUUUAAGUCAGGGGUGAAAUCCUGGAGCUCAACUCCAGAACUGCCUUUGAUACUGAGGAUCUCGAGUCCGGGAGAGGUGAGUGGAACUGCGAGUGUAGAGGUGAAAUUCGUAGAUAUUCGCAAGAACACCAGUGGCGAAGGCGGCUCACUGGCCCGGUACUGACGCUGAGGUGCGAAAGCGUGGGGAGCAAACAGG